Prionailurus viverrinus (fishing cat) is the source of this 6599-nucleotide long non-coding RNA. RefSeq lists it as uncharacterized. The record is from RefSeq and is a predicted model, not a curated record. NCBI's taxonomy places the organism in Eukaryota, Metazoa, Chordata, Mammalia, Carnivora, Felidae. The transcript has 3 exons.
UUGACUAUUGUUGAAAGUGCUGCUAUAAAUAUCGGGGUACAAGUGCCAUCAAAGCCCCAGAGGAGAAAGCAGGAAGUCUUGUAAAUAAGAGAAUUCUUGAAGGAAGGCCCCUGGGGAGUGUUCAGAUUCCUUCUAAGAUAGGCCUCAACAGAAAUGACUACUGGUGUUUCCUAUGGCAAGGGCCACAUCCAUUCCAUUACCCAUGAGGGAGUGAGGAAGUGAGGGAGGACUGACUCUAUCUCUGUUUGUUUCCAUAUGGACUAGAAAUAAUUACUGUGACAUGAGUUUUUAAAUUUCUUUAAUUCUCCCAACGGUAUCACUGUUUGGUAACUGUUGUCAUACUAGAAUUAUUUUCCCAAAGGAAAACCCAAUCAGGCCAUCAAACAAAAUGAUGUGGGUGGUUUUUUUUAUUAAGUUUUUAUUUAAAUUCCAGUUAGUUAACAAAUGGUAUGAUAUAGUUUCCAGUGUACAAUUUAGUGAUUUAACACUUCUAUACAUCACCCCAUGCUCAUCACAACAAGCGUCCUCCUUAAUUCCCAUCACUUAUUUCGCCCGUCCCCCCCCCACCCAACCUACAUCCCCAUCAAAAUGAUUUUUUUUUGCUGAUUUUGGAAGGCAGCAGAAAGGGCCAAGUGGACAAUCCUGUACCCUAAUUUGCAUCUCGCCUGGAGGUUUAGUUUUCUAUCACUGUGUAACAAAUUACCACAUAUUUGGCAGCUUAACAUGGUUAAAUUUAUUAUCUCACAGGUUCCACGGGUCAGGAGCCAAACAUGUUUCAAUUGGGUCUUCACAAGGCUGAAAACUAAAUGUUGGCCAUCUACAUCCUCAUCUGGAGAUCCAGCUAGAGAAAUAUCUGCCUCCAAGCUCUUUUAGGUGGUUAGAAGAACGUAUUUUCCAGAUGCUGUAUGACUGAGGUCUCCAUUUUCUUGCUAGCUAUUGGCUGAGGAUGCUCUCAGGGUCCCGCCAUGUAGCACUCACUAUAGGCAGGCUACAACCUGGCUGUUCAUUUUUUCAAGGAUAGCAGGAGAAUUUCUGUUUCUUCCUUCACAAAGGGCCCACUCAGCUUUUUAAGAACUCACCUGAUUAGAUCAGACGCACCCAUGAUAGACUUCCUUUUGAUUAACUCAAAAUCAACUGAUUUGAGACCCUGAUGACACCUGCAAAAUCUCUUCACCUUUGUCAUAUCAUCAACCUAAACAUGAGAAUAAAGAGUGUAAACACCAGGGAGCAGGAAUCUCGGGGACCAUCUCAGAAUUCUGCCUACCACACCUGCAGAACCAGGACUCAGACAUUAAAGGACGUGCUAUGAAGGAGCAUGCCAAGCCCCUGAUGAAUGCAGAGGGAAGGCACAGAAAUAUAAGUGAGAAGGUGGCCUGAGAUGAGACAAAGAAGAAACUGUAUCUGUCUGUUAAAGGAGCCCCUCUUACACUGUAUCUGUCUGUCAAAAGAGCUUCACUAGGGUCAGAGGGAGACAGGAAUUGCAGAAAGAGUUGAAUACUACUCAGAGUUUCCAGAUGAAGAUUGUCUGUUAUAUAUGGCUACUCAUCCUAACAGGAAUCACAUCACUGGCUGAGCCCAGACCAGGGAGGGUAGGUCAGUUUCAUCUUGUAUCACAGCUCUGAGCAACCAGUAGAGUCUGCCAGUAGGGCUGCACUGACAAGGAUUCUGAAAACUGGAUUUCUCGGUUCAGCAGGAAAGAGUUCUGGGCUUGAUUAAUGAUGUCUGUUAUGAACUCUGGCUUGGUGAUUCUAUGUUGAACAGGUAUUGGCUAUCUCUGCCUUAAAAAGUACACUUAUCCUAAGAAGUCCGGACAAAUAUUAAACAAGAAGGGAAGUGCUCAAGAAUAUCCAGUGUAUAGGAAAGAGACAACCUUCGUAAGACAAUUUCUUAUGCUUCCCUUCCCAAAAACUAUCAUCUUCCUACCUAAAACCCUCCAAUGAGAAUUUACAGAUCUCAAGGAGUGAUGGAUCCAUAAAACAGAAUCCUCACCAUCAACUCACCGCUAUGCCCCCAAAGCAGUAGCUAUCUGAUUUCCAAGUGCUGCUCAAAAUCCACAGAAAGAAGGCUUUGUGCGCAUUAAAGGACUGAGUGACUUCCUGAAGAGUCAGACCAGCCACAUCCCAUUUAACAGACAGAAGUGCAAGGUCAUGUCUGAGUCUCCAGGCUUCUGCCAAAACUUCUCAUUUCCAUUAGAUCAAGACUCCUGAACAUUUUAAUAUUGGGAGCGUUUCGGUUCCUUGUCACAGCCAUCUCUGCUUUACCAUUCCUUGGGGCUUGGCAAGGGAAAGUCACCUCAUUUUCACAACUUCACGGCAUUUUUUCACAUCAUGAAAAUGCCCUCAUGUUUGUCACUCGUACAAUAAACAAAAGCAAGAAAGCAAAUCCGUCUGCAGAACGGUGCCAUAUGAAGCUAAAUUAAAAUGCUAAUGGGUGAGCACGACACAGAGAAAACAACACACGGCCGAGAGUUAAGGGAACAUGGAUUUCAUGCAGAAGGGCCCUUCGAACCACAGUCUGUACGACCCGCUCCAUCUGAGGAGCUAGAGACAGCCAAAGUAGGACAGACGUAGAAACCAAACUUUCAUGGCUCCUAGUCUCAGUUAUCGCUCCUUUCUACUCUACGGCUUUUCUUGGAAUGAGGUUAUGUGAAGUCUGAAGAAAUAGCCCCUGGCAACGCUUUCUCACAGAAAAAAAGGUGCCUUUCUUCCUUCCCCCUCCAACUAUUUAUGUAAUGGAACCACGUUGAUACAGACAAUAAUAUGCCAUUAACUUCCAGGUCUGGGCAAGGAGAGAAUACACCAAGAUGAACCGUGGAACAAAACUAAGACACCUGCCCUUAAAAUAGUAGACAGAAUGCAUGCCUCUGAUAUUCUCAUCAAUGUGGAGCCAAACUAUUUAGUCUGUAGAUGUCAGAUACAUCAGGACGGUUCUAAUCUCAAUACUAUCUGUUAGGUGCAGAACUGAAGAACAAUAUACUGGCGAAUGAAUUUCAAAGAUCUUUGGGAGAAAACCGAAUUCGAUCCAAUUCAUUCAGGGGUAAAUAACAUCCCUGAAAUUUGGAAACAAAAUGUAGUCCCAUUAUGAAGCUCCUGCAGUAAUGAACUAGAACAAGAUACGUAAGAAAUUCCAAACACCCCUCUCCACAGAAGGACUUAAGAGGUGUGUUUGAAGGAAAGAUCUUAAUUCUCUGCUGCCAUUCCGAAAUCUUCUUUAUAAAAGAAAAAAAACCCCUCCUAUACAUUGUACAUUUAUUGAAUAAGUCCAAGCCAUAAGUAUGCAUUGAUUCUUCGGUUGCCAUAGCAGAGGGAACGGUUUCUGUGUAAUGAUGGUAGUUGCCAUAUGUUCAGCUUCAAGUCAACUGAUUCCAUCACAAAAGGAGGAGAGCGCAGAGGGGGGCUGCACAGCUUCACCUGUCCCAAAAUUCCAGUUAGCAUUGAGAUGUCAUAUGAGCCUCUCUUCUGGGACUGAGAAAGAAUAUGGGCCACAGCCCUGGUUUCAGAGCAAACACAUUUGCAAGGGAUUCUCACACAUAAGCCACUGCUCUAGGAGCCUGAUCAGCACCUAACCCAAAUGAAGUGUUUAUAACUUGCAAAAUGGCCCAGGAGGGGAUCUUAGUAAAGAUUUACAGCCAAAAAGGGACACAUUCCUUGGUGGUGGGAGGGGAGACGGGAGCAGUUAAUGCCCUCUCUUUGAGAGCAGGGACUGGAGACAUGUAGAGGGAAUGUGUGAAUUUGGGACCCCAAACAGAAUUGAGAAGUAUUUAAUCAUAGAAGAUAGAUCUUCAGCAAGUCCUAGAGUUGGAAGGUGUCUGGACCCUUUGAGGCAACAUCUCAGAGGGUGAGCUGGGCACAUUCUUGCCCAAACUCCUUCUCUUUGAAGAAUUCCAGGCUGGCUGUUCCAUGGUCUGACUCAAGGUAACAAUCAUGGAUGUGGUUACGUUGCCAGUUAGGGUGUGGCUAUCUCCACCGUCAGCACACUAAUGAGUGUUUUGAAUGUCCAAGAGCUUAUUUUUUGGUACUCUUCCAGGGUCCUGUGAGCAAAUUGGCUAUUCACUGGUAGAGGAAUUUAUUUGUUUCUGGAACUCUAUGGCAUGCAUUAUUAAAUCCCUGCAGCAGAAAUCUAAAUGAUCCUUGAAGGAUCCAGAGCCCUUCCAACACAACCCAACUACAAGGAAAGGCCUCCUGGCACUGAGAUGUAUGGCCCCAAUGACCUUUUUUAAUGACUCAUAUUUUCUGUACUUUAGAAAUUCAAAGGAAUCUCAGAAACAGAAGACUCAGCCUCGGCAUUUACACUAUUUUUUUGUCUUUGUCGUGGCUAAAUUAUGUGCUGGGUACUUUCUAAAUAGACACCAUGCUAGGGCUUUUGUUUCUUUAUCAGGGCAUCAAAUCGAUAACGAAAAGACAGACAAUCCACUAAACAAAUGAGCAAAGGCCUUGACUAGGCACUUCACAAAAGAACUCCAGACAGCCAACUAACAAAUCAAAGAUAUGCUUAAUCUCACCGAUAAUCAGAGAAAUGCAAGUCAAAACCAUAGUAAGAUGCCACUACACGCCCACCAGAUUGGCUCAAAUUUAAAAGCCUGGCAAUGUCAAGUAUUGAGGAAGAUGUGAGGCAUCCGGAAGUCUCAUACUGCUAGUGGGAAUGCAAACUGGUAACACCACUGUGGAAAACAGCUGGGCCUUAUUCAAUACAAUGGAAGAAACGCAAAUAGUAUGACUUAGUGAUCAUAUGAACGAACUUCAGCCAAACUUUGAAGACAUGGUCAACUCGGGGGGAGGGUGGAGUUGUUGUCGGGAAGACACAUAAACGGGUGCUUGACCUGGAUGGUGGCCACAUAGAUUUUUACUUGUUAUAUGUACACACACACACACACACACACACACACUCCACUCUCCAGUAAGUUCUAUUUAAGGAGAAAAAAAAAGUUUAAAGAAAAAUCUGUAUCCAACAGAUGCCUCAAGUAGAAAGUCUUAAGUUUGUUUUGGUGAAGACUUUAUCCAAAAGCUCAGAAUGUAAUUCAGACAAACUUCAGGAGCAUGCUCCAUUCAUCUAUUCCAACCUUUCUUGGAGCUGCCUGUAUUGCCUACCUAACAACUACUUGGGAUAAUGAGUUUCACAGAGACACAUGUAAAGAAAAAUUGUAGAGUAGCCAGAAGAAGGGUUCAGAGAGCUAGGGUUCUUUAGGAAGGGGGGGAAAAAAAAGAAGAAGAAUUUUCAUCCUUCUUCUGCAAGGGGGCAGAGACUUGGGAGUAGAGGAUCCUCAUCAAACUGUGUGUUUCCUCUGAUGAGCUCUUGUUAUGAUAAUUAUUAUCACUCCAAAGAUGUUGAUAAUUAUAUUUAGACAGUUUUUAAAGCAAUAUUGUAUAAUAUUUCCCCCCGUUUAACACCAGCGUCAGAGCUGAUGAAUACGCAGUCAGAUGAAAUGCAGGCCUGCUGGUCUGUCCACAAAGUGUUCCCAUCAACCGUGUAAGUGAGUUUUAUAAUGUAUACAUUAUAGUAGGGGGGGAGGCAUACUCUUUUGGAAAGGACCGAUUCUUGGCACAUAAUCAGUUCCCAUUGAAUUUAAAUGACUUUUGGUCCUACACCGAUGCUGAUAAAAUACUUUCAAAUGUACAGAAUAUUAACCAAAUGUUUAUAUUAAACAACUCCUUUCAGGUGAAAAUGCGCUCGGCGAAGCGUAGCUCCCUGGAGCAAGUUAGUGAAUAUUAAUGUUCAGCAGAUCAUAAGGAGCUACAAGUUCUCCAAUGUAAGAAGCCGAGGGGGGAGACAAAAGAGCAAGGUUGGUGGAUGGGCCCUGCCUGGGGAAGGUACAAUCACAUUGGACAUAACCUCAUUGAGAUGGAAAUGGAGUUUGAUGUACUUGCAAUCGGGGCUGCCAGGAACUAGGAAGCAAACGCGGGCUGGGGAGGAAGAGCUCAAGGCUCUCGCCUACGCUUCCAAAGUCCACACGCCGCAGACCCGGGCUGGCCUCAGACCUGCCAGGGGCCCCGUCAGCAUGGAGAUUUACAGGACGCGCCUCAUAAUUAAUACCAGCCAAUCGCCGGUUAAUCAUGGGCCCUGGUUUCGGGUUUCAGGAAAUCACUUGUCUUGUAUGGGACACAUAAACGUGCAGCAACCACAUACAUACCGCAUACUUCAGAGGGAAGACAGACAGCUUUAUCAACCAGGCUGGAGAUCAAAAUGAACACUUCUGCGCAUCUGGUGAUGGGGAAAAGGCCAUCCUGGGAAACAUCGGGUCCAGGGUGAUGUCUGGCUCUGAGCAGGAUGUCAGUGGGGAAUUUGGUCAGCCAGCCCCACUCUGGACGUCUGAUCCCCUACCCACAAAAUGAGGACAUUAACAUUUCAGUGUGAAGUGCUUUGGGCCACUUGGAAGAACCAUCUCUAUAAGCAGAAGAAUGCCCAAACAAAAGCAGAGAGUGGAAAGAAUGACAUUUUAAAAACUGCAAGCGAAGACUGAUGACUCCUUAGAAUACACCAUAAUGAGGGAAUGAUGACUGGGGGGUCUACCUCCUAAGUCAUCCACUGUACUUGCUACCAGCAGCAACGCCAUACUAGAAGCGCCAUCUUGAGAAGACAUGAAAGCCUGGGGUUGAAAACAG